Molecule: ribosomal RNA, 597 nt
Filed under: uncultured Bacteroidota bacterium
Lineage: Bacteria; Pseudomonadati; Bacteroidota
Description: bacterial SSU rRNA
Rfam family: Bacterial small subunit ribosomal RNA
Source: RNAcentral
UCGAGGGGUAUAAGGAGCUUGCUCCUUAGAGACCGGCGCACGGGUGCGUAACGCGUAUGCAAUCUGCCUUUCACAGGGGAAUAGCCCAGAGAAAUUUGGAUUAAUACCCCAUGGUAUUUUAGGGUGGCAUCACCUUAUUAUUAAAGAUUUAUCGGUGAAAGAUGAGCAUGCGUCCCAUUAGCUAGUUGGUAAGGUAACGGCUUACCAAGGCAACGAUGGGUAGGGGUCCUGAGAGGGAGAUCCCCCACACUGGUACUGAGACACGGACCAGACUCCUACGGGAGGCAGCAGUGAGGAAUAUUGGACAAUGGGCGCAAGCCUGAUCCAGCCAUGCCGCGUGCAGGAUGACGGCCCUAUGGGUUGUAAACUGCUUUUAUACGGGAAGAAACCCUGGAACGUGUUCCAGACUGACGGUACCGUAAGAAUAAGGAUCGGCUAACUCCGUGCCAGCAGCCGCGGUAAUACGGAGGAUCCAAGCGUUAUCCGGAAUCAUUGGGUUUAAAGGGUCCGUAGGCGGCCCAGUAAGUCAGUGGUGAAAUCUCCCGGCUCAACCGGGAAAUUGCCAUUGAUACUGCUGGGCUUGAAUUACUAGGAAGU